This 1035-nucleotide long non-coding RNA is filed under the name Apis florea (little honeybee). RNAcentral's name for it is "uncharacterized LOC116415400, transcript variant X1". Lineage: Eukaryota; Metazoa; Arthropoda; Insecta; Hymenoptera; Apidae. The record is from RNAcentral.
UAAUACGUAGGAUGAACGCAAUAUUUUAUCGGAUUUUGCGUCACAUGUUCUGAAAUACCGAUCUCAAAAAAGAUCAUGUGGCGACAUCACAACGAAAACUAUUUUACCGACCAUUGAUCCGGUCAACAAGUCAAAACGACACGUGACAAUGGAGGAUAGAAGUCGAAAGCGUGGCGAUUGGAUAUUACAAAUAAUUCUAACGAACAUGAAAUUAACGAUUGCGAUUUCGAUGUGAUUUCGCAAGAACAUAAAAAAAAAAUUGCAAGCACGAGUUGGUUUCACGAGAAGAUAAAAUAAGCGGGCAUGUUAUGCACAGUUAACAUGAAAUGAACAUAGUUUGUAUAACUGUAUAGACAGGAAAUUAAGAAAAAUCAGAUAUAACGGAUAAAAUAAGACAAAAUGUGCUCGGUGGAUGCGUCAUGGAAAUAAGAAGAAAAUUGGCAUACAACAAGCUAUGGAAACAAAAGAAAGAUGUAAUUGAAGAAAUUAAAAUGAUAAUCAAGGGCUUGAAAGGCAACAGAAGAUUUCAAUAGCGAACCCAAUAGCGAACCAAGGACAAUAAGUUUAUUAUUAUCCUAAAAAUCUGCUUAGGACGGUAUCGUAACAAAUUAUUACGAUACAAAUGUGUAACAAUACAAUGUAUGUUUAUAAUCAAGAAAGAGGAAAACUAAAUUGUCUAUCGAUCAAUGAAGCAAGAAUAAAUGAUUAAAAUGAAAUAAAAAUAAUAAUAUGCCAACACAAGAGUUACACAUGUAUAAAAUCAUGCGAAUCUUGUAUGGAUUUUAGACCAACGUUUAAAUAAUAAUAAUUUUGUUUUAUACGAAUAGAUGCUAUAUAUACCUCUUAUAAAUGCUUUUCUCAUUUAUUUUGAAUUAUAUAACGAUCAACCGAAAAAGAGAGAAAUUUCGAAGAUAGCAUUCAACGACAAUGGUUCAAGAGAUGAUGGAAAAAGAACAAGAUCCUUCUAUUUUAUUUAUCGAAAAAAUUUCUGAAACAAAUUGUAUAAAAUGAAUUAAUAAAACUUAAUAAUAGAUU